RNAcentral lists this long non-coding RNA (793 nucleotides) under Mytilus galloprovincialis (Mediterranean mussel). The record is from RNAcentral. Lineage: Eukaryota; Metazoa; Mollusca; Bivalvia; Mytilida; Mytilidae.
UGCAAUUAUAGGACUGUGACACUGUAGUUGGAGUGAAAAGACCAAGAAUAAAUCCAUAUCAUAGAUCAAAGUAAAGAAGUGAAGAACAGAUCAGAAACAAAGCAACGAAGAAAGAAAAGGAUGACUUAAUUUAAGAGCAGAUGUAAGUAAAAAUAUAUAAGUAUACUAUUAAGUUGCCAAUAGAACUAUAAUAUGAUUGAAAAAUGGAGGUUAAAUCAUUCUCUAAUAUUCAUCCUGUUGAAUAGGUAAAAAAUGGGCAAUUUAAAAAAAUAUAUUCAUAAUAUUAGGAUAAAAUAGGAAAAACAGGCUGUAGUUCUCAGAAAUCAAGGAUUUUGUUUUAUAAUAUAAAAAAAACUUGCAUGCUUGUUUGCUCUAUAUAGUGUUCCCUUUGAUUUGUUUGUCUUUUGAUGUGUAAUUUUCAAGCAGCAACUGAAGACUUUGGCAAUUGUAGCCCAGAGCUUAAAUUUUGUAGCCCUCAUAUAUAGUCCAAGACAAGAAAAGCUGAAAUUGAAGUAGCCCACACCAAAUUUUUGGGGCCAUUAGCAAGUGGACCCCUGUUAAUUUCAAACCCUGAUUUGUACAAGGUGUAAAGUAUUGUCUUUUUAACAACAAUUUGUAUUUUUCAAGAAGCUUGUUUAAUGUAUUUUAAUAAACAUGAUCUAAGAAUAAGUGACGGUUGCAUACAAAUGUACAUGAAGGUUUCAUUUUUUCAUUUCAGGAUACAAAAGUUCACCUGACAACCAAAAGGAACUGCACACCAACAUGACCAAGAGCCUUUAUCAUUCAAAAGAAG